This 72-nucleotide transfer RNA is filed under the name Anaerolineaceae bacterium. Its description in RNAcentral is "tRNA-Met". It matches the Rfam family "tRNA". From Rfam's summary of the family: Transfer RNA (tRNA) molecules are approximately 80 nucleotides in length. RNAcentral also lists the same sequence under 3 other names. The record is from RNAcentral. Lineage: Bacteria; Bacillati; Chloroflexota; Anaerolineae; Anaerolineales; Anaerolineaceae.
GGCGAGGUAGCUCAGUGGUAGAGCAGGGGACUCAUAAGCCCUUGGUCGUGGGUUCAAAUCCCACUCUCGCCA